This 343-nucleotide long non-coding RNA is filed under the name Linum usitatissimum (flax). RNAcentral's name for it is "long non-coding RNA (LUSI_LNC004543)". The record is from RNAcentral. Lineage: Eukaryota; Viridiplantae; Streptophyta; Magnoliopsida; Malpighiales; Linaceae.
UGGAAUGAAGAGAGGGAAAGAAAGAAAGAAAAAGAGAGAGGGUGAGGAAAAGGAAAAGAGAGAGGGUGAGGAAAAGGAAUUUUUUCUUUUUAAUUUUUUUAUUAAUGAUGAUGUAGUGUGCUUGCGUGGUUGGUCUGUGUGGCAAAGUGAAUGGAAUAGGAUGGAAAAUGUUGACGACGAGUUGGAGAAAUUUUGACUCAUACCAAAAUGACUAAAACACGACCUUAAGAUAAUUAAAACACGUCAAACUUAGAGGACUAUUAAAGUCGAUAGCCCGAAUCUUUAGUUAAACAUUGUCGUUUAGAUGGGGGGUGGAGAGAGAGAGAGAGUUGGGAGAAGUCUG